This 528-nucleotide long non-coding RNA is filed under the name Populus trichocarpa (black cottonwood). RNAcentral describes it as "long non-coding RNA (PTRI_LNC000791)". Lineage: Eukaryota; Viridiplantae; Streptophyta; Magnoliopsida; Malpighiales; Salicaceae. The record is from RNAcentral.
ACCAGCUUUUAAGGGAUCUGCUCCCAUUAAUCUAUCAGAUAGGUUGCACCAAGUUCUGCGAUGGGCACUAGGCUCUAUUGAGAUUUUCCUUAGUCAUCACUGUCCUCUAUGGUAUGGCUAUGGAGGAAAGUUGAAGUUGCUGGAGAGGCUUGCUUACAUCAACACCAUCGUUUACCCUUUCACCUCCAUUCCCUUACUUGCCUACUGUACUAUUCCAGCAGUCUGCCUUCUGACAGGAAAAUUUAUCAUCCCUACUGUAAGUGAUACUGAAUUGUAUUGCAGAGAUUAACACAUUGAAAACAAUGUCAUUCCUCCAUCCACAGCUAUUCUUUUUUGUCUCUUCCAAUAGUAUUAAUUUUAACCAAAUUUAUUUUUUUUCUUUGCAGCUGAACAACCUUGCUAGCAUAUGGUUCCUAGCCCUUUUCAUCUCAAUCAUAGCAACAUCUGUGUUAGAACUUCGAUGGAGUGGAGUCAGCAUCCAGGACUUGUGGCGUAAUGAGCAAUUUUGGGUUAUCGGCGGUGUCUCAG